CAACAUCUACGUUUGAAUUUGGGAUUGCUGAUAGCUUGUAUAUAAUGUUAAGGCUAGAAUAUGUCACGACCCAUUACAUCAUUCUUACCAGUGCCAUUAUACGUGUUAUUUUACACCGUUUCCAGGCAUAUGACAUGAUAUGGUCUAGUCCACGCCACGUAGAAGACGCUGUCGAAGUUCUCGGCAAAAUGAAUGACAUUUUUCGAGGCAAUUCCUUUGAAGGAAUAAAAGAAAAUAGCCUAAGGGGCACCAACCUAUAGAGACACUUUAGAAUAUGAGCUCAAUAGCAGAUGUAAACGAAUCUCAGCCCAAGAGAGGGCGCCUUGGUGAAAGAGGCUGGAGCCCGAAGAGGUCCACCUCAGAAAUAAAAAUCAGCCUUAAGGGUAAAACGACACCAAGAACUGGAUCCCAUAAGGAUCAUCUCUGUGAAAAGGUACGAGAUGCCUAUAAAAAAAAGGGGAACUGCAGCAAGGGUACGACCCUUGAUGAGUGAUUUACACUCAUUAUAUUAUGCCAUUAAUUUUAUUAUUUUGCUAUCUUGGAGAGUAUUUUAGAAUUGCUAACAAGUGAUUUCGGUGUUGUUCUGUAGAUUGAUGGAAGUGGAGAAAACAAGAGUUAAAAGAGGCCAAAGGAAGGAAAUAGGCAAAAGUUAGCGAAAUUGGAUGAAAUGACCAAAAUGUAAAAGAUCCCAAGUUCGAGGAUUAAAAUGCAAUUAAUCAAAAGUCGUGUCGAAACUCGCGAUGAAGAUCCGAGAGUGCUAGGAGUCAAUUGAAUAAAGGAAGGUGUCAAAGGGAUCAAAUUUAGUCAAAAUAUGAUCACAAAUCAUUUCCAACCGAAAAGUUAUGCGCCGAAGUUUUGGUCUCACAUUGAGACUCAUUUUUGACAUAGAAAACGAUCGAAUUGGAGAAUGAUGCCUGAAGCAAAGUUGUAGCCCUUUGAAUUAGCUUUCCAACGCAUCUUGAAUCAUUUCAAUCGGAUAUUAAACGAGAAAGUUAUGCUAAAAAUACUGAAAGACGCACAGAAUGUCGUUUCGGGCGUACCGAGUGCCACGGCGCCCAUCGGGAGCGUUGGGGCGCCCAUCUUGCUGAAAACAAGCAGAAAGUCAGUGCCCAGGCGCUGCAUUUCGAAACAGAAGAAAAUUCUGAUUUUAUAAUUUUUUCUCGGCCCAAUUAGUAACCUGUUGUUCCCUAAAUUUCAAGACACUAUAAAUACACAAUUGAAGACCUAAAUUAAGAGAGAGAAGCACACUAAAAAUCUGUGAGAUCAAGCCACGCACGGGAUUUGGAGACGGCAAAACAGGGAGUCAGCUGCCCAAAAAUUAUGGGAAUUAGAGAGAAUCUGGAGAGGAAGAGCCGACAAUUUCAAGAGGAUUGAAAGGAGUUCAGCCAACUAAACGCAACAGGAAGGCAGAACUCAAAAUUUUGGUAGGUUUACUUCUUCAAUUAAUCAAUUUGGUGGACGGCUGGACAAUCUUGAAAGAGUCAAAGGGCAGAAACUAAUUGAGAGGCGUGGAAAACAAGGGAAGAAUCAAUUUACUCGUUUAAUUUAUUUUCUUUCUUCUUCAUGUUUUACACUAUAAUUUGUAUGAAUUUAACGUCUUUAAUUAUGCACUGAACAAAUUACCUAGGG
RNAcentral lists this long non-coding RNA (1629 nucleotides) under Olea europaea subsp. europaea. Lineage: Eukaryota; Viridiplantae; Streptophyta; Magnoliopsida; Lamiales; Oleaceae. The record is from RNAcentral.